GACGAACGCUGGCGGCGUGCCUAAUACAUGCAAGUCGAGCGAACAGAUGAGGACGUUGCUUCGCUGACGUUAGCGGCGGGCGGGUGAGUAAGACGUGGUUAACCUAGCUAUAAGACUGGGAUAGCUUCGGGAAACCGGUGCUAAUACCGGAUAAUAUAUUAAAACGCAUGGUUCAAUAGUGAAUGACGGUUUUUCGGUCUCUCAUAGAUGGAUCCGCGCCGCAUGGGCUGGUCGGUAAGGUAACGGCUUACCAAGGCAACGAGGCGUAGCCGACCCGGGAGGGUGUCGGGCCACCGUGGAACUGGAACACGGCCCAAACUCCAAGGGGGGCCAGCAGUAGGAACUUUCCGGAAUGGGGCGAAGGCUGGACGGAGCAACGCGCGGGAGGUGAUGAGGGUCUCGGGUCGUAAAAACUUUGUUAUUGGGGAGGAAAAAGUGUGUAGGUAACGAUGCACGCCUGACGGUAACCUAAGAGGAAGCCCCGGCUAACUUCGUG
This 496-nucleotide ribosomal RNA is filed under the name uncultured bacterium. RNAcentral describes it as "partial 16S ribosomal RNA". It matches the Rfam family "Bacterial small subunit ribosomal RNA", at positions 28 to 507 of the family's 1533-position model. The record is from RNAcentral.